AGAACGAACGCUGGCGGCAGGCUUAACACAUGCAAGUCGAGCGCGUGUAGCAAUACACGAGCGGCGCACGGGUGAGUAACGCGUGGAUAUCUGCCUUUUGGUUCGGAAUAACCCCGGGAAACUGGGGCUAAUACCGGAUGGUUCCUACGGGAUAAAGAUUUAUCGCCAAAAGAUGAGUCCGCGUCCGAUUAGCUAGUUGGUGAGGUAACGGCUCACCAAGGCGACGAUCGGUAGCUGGUCUGAGAGGACGAUCAGCCACACUGGGACUGAGACACGGCCCAGACUCCUACGGGAGGCAGCAGUGGGGAAUAUUGGACAAUGGGGGCAACCCUGAUCCAGCCAUGCCGCGUGAGUGAUGAAGGCCUUCGGGUUGUAAAGCUCUUUUGGCGGGGACGAUGAUGACGGUACCGCAGAAUAAGCCCGGCUAACUUCGCGCCAGCAGCCGC
This 446-nucleotide ribosomal RNA is filed under the name uncultured bacterium. RNAcentral describes it as "SSU rRNA". It matches the Rfam family "Bacterial small subunit ribosomal RNA", at positions 26 to 518 of the family's 1533-position model. The record is from RNAcentral.